CCUACGGGAGGCAGCAGUGGGGAAUCUUGGACAAUGGACGAAAGUCUGAUCCAGCGAUUCCGCGUGGAGGAUGAAGCCUUAUGGGGUGUAAACUCCUUUUCUGGGGGAAGACGAAUGACGGUACUUCAGGAAUAAGGGACGGCUAACUACGUGCCAGCAGCCGCGGUAAUACGUAGGUCCCGAGCGUUAUCCGGAAUUACUGGGCGUAAAGCGUCUGUAGCCGGAUGUGUAAGUCUGUUUUCAAAAACCUGGACUCAAUCGAGGCGAGGGAAUAGAUACUGCAUAUCUAGAGAAUUUGGGAGGUUAUUGGAAUUUCCGGUGGAGCGGUGAAAUGCGUUGAUAUCGGAAGGAACGCCAAAAGCGAAGGCAGAUAACUAUAGAAUUUCUGACGGUGAGAGACGAAAGCUUGGGGAGCAAACGGGAUUAGAUACCCGGGUAGUC
This 441-nucleotide ribosomal RNA is filed under the name uncultured bacterium. Its description in RNAcentral is "bacterial SSU rRNA". It matches the Rfam family "Bacterial small subunit ribosomal RNA", at positions 338 to 795 of the family's 1533-position model. The record is from RNAcentral.